GGCGAUCAGAUACCGCCCUAGUUCUGACCGUAAACGAUGCCAACUCGCGAUCCGCCGGCGGAGCAUUUCGCCCUGGUGGGGAGCGUCCCGGAAACGAAAGUCUUCCGGUUCCGGGGGAAGUAUGGUUGCAAAGCUGAAACUUAAAGGAAUUGACGGAAGGGCACCACCAGGAGUGGAGCCUGCGGCUUAAUUUGACUCAACGCGAGGAACCUCACCCGGCCCGGACACCGUAAGGAUUGACCGAUCGACAGCUCAUUCAUGAUUCGGUGGUUGGUGGUGCAUGGCCGUUCUUAGUUCGUGGAUUUGAUCUGUCUACUUUAUUGCGAUAACCGAGCGAGACCCACGCCUGCUAACUAGUCAGUGCAUUGCCAUUGUGCGCGCCGACUUCUUAGAGGGAUUCGCGGUGUUCAGCCGUUUGAAAGUGGGCAAUAACAGGUCUGUGAUGCCCUUAGAUGUCCGGGGCUGCACGCGGGCUACACUGGCAAAACCAGCGUGCUUGUCCUGCCUCGAAGGAGGUGGGUAAACCCGGCAAAAUUUGCCGUGAUUGGGGUCGGAGAUUGCAAUUAUUUUCCGUGAACGAGGAAUUCCAAGUAAGUGCGAGUCAUCAGCUCGCGUUGAUUACGUCCCUGCCCUUUGUA
RNAcentral lists this ribosomal RNA (638 nucleotides) under Radopholus similis. RNAcentral describes it as "SSU rRNA". It matches the Rfam family "Eukaryotic small subunit ribosomal RNA", at positions 1003 to 1664 of the family's 1831-position model. Lineage: Eukaryota; Metazoa; Nematoda; Chromadorea; Rhabditida; Pratylenchidae. The record is from RNAcentral.